Molecule: ribosomal RNA, 375 nt
Filed under: uncultured Actinomycetes bacterium
Lineage: Bacteria; Bacillati; Actinomycetota; Actinomycetes
Description: bacterial SSU rRNA
Rfam family: Bacterial small subunit ribosomal RNA
Source: RNAcentral
AGGCGACGACGGGUAGCCGGCCUGAGAGGGCGACCGGCCACACUGGGACUGAGACACGGCCCAGACUCCUACGGGAGGCAGCAGUGGGGAAUAUUGGGCAAUGGAGGAAACUCUGACCCAGCGACGCCGCGUGAGGGAUGAAGGCCUUCGGGUUGUAAACCUCUUUCAGUAGGGAAGAAGCGAAAGUGACGGUACCUACAGAAGAAGCACCGGCUAACUAUGUGCCAGCAGCCGCGGUAAUACAUAGGGUGCAAGCGUUGUCCGGAAUUAUUGGGCGUAAAGAGCUCGUAGGUGGUUCGAUACGUCGGAUGUGAAAAUCAGGGGCUCAACCCCUGACCUGCAUCCGAUACGGUCGAGCUAGAGUUUGGUAGGGGA